GUGCCAGCAGCCGCGGUAAGACGGAGGGUGCUAGCGUUGUUCGGAAUCACUGGGCGUAAAGGGCGCGUAGGCGGCCUCAGGUGUCGGAUGUGAAAGCCCGGGGCUCAACCCCGGAGGUGCAUCCGAAACUCUGGGGCUGGAGGUCGGAAGAGGAGGGUGGAAUACCCAGUGUAGAGGUGAAAUUCGUAGAUAUUGGGUGGAACACCGGUGGCGAAAGCGGCUCUCUGGUCCGGACCUGACGCUGAGGCGCGAAAGCGUGGGGAGCAAACAGGAUUAGAAACCCGGGUAGUCC
This 292-nucleotide ribosomal RNA is filed under the name uncultured bacterium. Its description in RNAcentral is "partial 16S ribosomal RNA". It matches the Rfam family "Bacterial small subunit ribosomal RNA", at positions 505 to 796 of the family's 1533-position model. The record is from RNAcentral.